GACGAACGCUGGCUGCGUGCUUAACACAUGCAAGUCGAACGCUGAAGCCUGGUGCUUGCACCGGGUGGAUGAGUGGCGAACGGGUGAGUAACACGUGAGUAACCUGCCCCUGACUUCGGGAUAAGCCCGGGAAACUGGGUCUAAUACCGGAUACGACUGCCGGACGCAUGUCUGGUGGUGGAAAGUUUUUUCGGUUGGGGAUGGGCUCGCGGCCUAUCAGUUUGUUGGUGAGGUAAUGGCUCACCAAGACGACGACGGGUAGCCGGCCUGAGAGGGCGACCGGCCACACUGGGACUGAGACACGGCCCAGACUCCUACGGGAGGCAGCAGUGGGGAAUAUUGCACAAUGGGGGAAACCCUGAUGCAGCGACGCAGCGUGCGGGAUGACGGCCUUCGGGUUGUAAACCGCUUUCAGCAGGGAAGAAGCGCAAGUGACGGUACCUGCAGAAGAAGUACCGGCUAACUACGUGCCAGCAGCCGCGGUAAUACGUAGGGUACGAGCGUUGUCCGGAAUUAUUGGGCGUAAAGAGCUCGUAGGUGGUUGGUCACGUCUGCUGUGGAAACGCAACGCUUAACGUUGCGCGUGCAGUGGGUACGGGCUGACUAGAGUGCAGUAGGGGAGUCUGGAAUUCCUGGUGUAGCGGUGAAAUGCGCAGAUAUCAGGAGGAACACCGGUGGCGAAGGCGGGACUCUGGGCUGUAACUGACACUGAGGAGCGAAAGCAUGGGGAGCGAACAGGAUUAGAUACCCUGGUAGUCCAUGCCGUAAACGUUGGGCACUAGGUGUGGGGGGCAUUCCACGUUCUCCGCGCCGUAGCUAACGCAUUAAGUGCCCCGCCUGGGGAGUACGGUCGCAAGGCUAAAGCUCAAAGGAAUUGACGGGGGCCCGCACAAGCGGCGGAGCAUGCGGAUUAAUUCGAUGCAACGCGAAGAACCUUACCAAGGCUUGACAUACACCGGACCGUCCUGGAAACAGGUCUUCUUCUUUGAAGCUGGUGUACAGGUGGUGCAUGGUUGUCGUCAGCUCGUGUCGUGAGAUGUUGGGUUAAGUCCCGCAACGAGCGCAACCCUCGUUCUAUGUUGCCAGCACGUGAUGGUGGGAACUCAUAGGAGACUGCCGGGGUCAACUCGGAGGAAGGUGGGGAUGACGUCAAAUCAUCAUGCCCUUUAUGUCUUGGGCCUCACGCAUGCUACAAUGGCUGGUACAGAGAGAGGCGAACCCGUGAGGGCAAGCGAAUCCCUUAAAGCCAGUCUCAGUUCGGAUCGUAGUCUGCAAUUCGACUACGUGAAGUCGGAGUCGCUAGUAAUCGCAGAUCAGCAACGCUGCGGUGAAUACGUUCCCGGGCCU
RNAcentral lists this ribosomal RNA (1347 nucleotides) under uncultured bacterium. RNAcentral's name for it is "bacterial SSU rRNA". It matches the Rfam family "Bacterial small subunit ribosomal RNA", at positions 28 to 1381 of the family's 1533-position model. The record is from RNAcentral.